GACGAACGCUGGCGGCGUGCCUAAUACAUGCAAGUUGAGCGAUGAAGAUUGGUGCUUGCACCAAUUUGAAGAGCAGCGAACGGGUGGGUAACGCGUGGGGAAUCUGCCUUUGAGCGGGGGACAACAUUUGGAAACGAAUGCUAAUACCGCAUAAUAACUUUAAACAUAAGUUUUAAGUUUGAAAGAUGCAAUUGCAUCACUCAAAGAUGAUCCCGCGUUGUAUUAGCUAGUUGGUGAGGUAAAGGCUCACCAAGGCGAUGAUACAUAGCCGACCUGAGAGGGUGAUCGGCCACAUUGGGACUGAGACACGGCCCAAACUCCUACGGGAGGCAGCAGUAGGGAAUCUUCGGCAAUGGACGAAAGUCUGACCGAGCAACGCCGCGUGAGUGAAGAAGGUUUUCGGAUCGUAAAACUCUGUUGGUAGAGAAGAACGUUGGUGAGAGUGGAAAGCUCAUCAAGUGACGGUGACUACCCAGAAAGGGACGGCUAACUACGUG
This 497-nucleotide ribosomal RNA is filed under the name uncultured bacterium. RNAcentral's name for it is "partial 16S ribosomal RNA". It matches the Rfam family "Bacterial small subunit ribosomal RNA", at positions 28 to 507 of the family's 1533-position model. The record is from RNAcentral.